GGCUGUGUGGUCGCGACCAGAGAAAGGAGAAAGGGGGGAACCCUAAUUUCAUCAAUCAACCUCAAGAAUUCAGCAAGAUUGUGAAGGAUUAGAGUCAUAAAUCGCAUGCUAGUGUUUAAAUACUCUCUAAUCCAAGUGUUUUGAACAUAAGGAGUGAAAGAAGAAGGAGCUAGUUCCGGUUCACAACAAAAGGCUCAAGAUCGAGGUAAAGCACAAGUUUAAUCGCCGUUGCGUCACUCGGAUAUGAACACACCUUGAUCACCCGUGAUACGCUUCCGCCUCUUUUGUAGUAAUUUCAA
Molecule: long non-coding RNA, 299 nt
Organism: Helianthus annuus (common sunflower)
Lineage: Eukaryota; Viridiplantae; Streptophyta; Magnoliopsida; Asterales; Asteraceae
Exons: 3
Source: RefSeq, a predicted model, not a curated record